RNAcentral lists this ribosomal RNA (253 nucleotides) under uncultured bacterium. Its description in RNAcentral is "partial 16S ribosomal RNA". It matches the Rfam family "Bacterial small subunit ribosomal RNA", at positions 524 to 776 of the family's 1533-position model. The record is from RNAcentral.
GACAGAGGGUGCAAACGUUGCUCGGAUUUACUGGGCGUAAAGCGCGUGUAGGCUGAUUGGUAAGUCAGAUGUGAAAUCCCUGGGCUCAACCCAGGAACUGCAUCUGAAACUGCCAGUCUUGAGUGGUGGAGAGGGUCGUGGAAUUCCUGGUGUAGAGGUGAAAUUCGUAGAUAUCAGGAGGAACACCGGUGGCGAAGGCGGCGACCUGGACACUAACUGACGCUGAGACGCGAAAGCGUGGGGAGCAAACAGG